AAUUCUCAAAACCUUUCUUUUGAAAGGAUUUUGGACUUGGAGGCUUUUUGCUGGUUUCACCUCGAAGCGAGCUCCUCCUAAAUGGAUUAGUGGGGUCUGCUUUGCCGAUCCUUGACGUGAUAAGAUGCUUCUACGUCUUGGGUUUGGCUCUGUCCCUUGGACACCUGCUUCAAACCGUCUCAAUGACAAUGAUGGUGUUCCGGUCUGCCACUGUCUCAUCAGUGGGCGGGCUUGACCCACCAACAAAA
This 248-nucleotide unclassified non-coding RNA is filed under the name uncultured Russula. RNAcentral describes it as "sequence contains ITS2". Lineage: Eukaryota; Fungi; Basidiomycota; Agaricomycetes; Russulales; Russulaceae. The record is from RNAcentral.